GCCAAUUAAUAAAAGUAAUACGAAGAAGAACUAAUCAAUGGCUCUUCAGCUAAUAAGUAAUAAGUAGCCCACUACCAAUUAUGAAAUUCAUAAUAGGUAUUAAAUUAUAAGUAUUCGAUAAUGAAAGUUUUAAAAGCAGGGUUAUGUGUCGUAUAGCAAAAUGUGUGCACACAUCCAAAGUUGACCGGCUUCACUUGGCACUUAUAAUAUUUUUUUGGUAAAUCCAACUUUUGGCCUGUCUCUUUCAUCAUUUAAAAUAACUCUCACGGAGAAAAGCCAACAUUUUCUUCUUGUCUUUUUCAAUUAAAAAUUCCUCUAUUUUUUUUUUUUUUUUUUUUUUUGUCAUCAACAAACAGACUCAUAUAGACUCUGCGAACCAAACUGGUAACUCCGCAUCCAUGUGAACGACGAAAGACGAUUGUUUUCUGGCACAUCGUGCUAGACUAUCCGCCUUUUGAUUUUCCGUCCGGGGUACAUGAAUGAUUGUUGAGCUAGUAAAACAUGUCUUCAGUAGCUUUAUGUCGUGCAGGUAACUCUCAAACGCCGGCCAUUCCUCUGGUUCCGAAACUAUCUUCACCAAUUGAGAACAAUCCGUAGCAAAAGUAACCUGAAACUGAUGUAAAUUCCUCAUGCAUUCCAUUGCCCAUAUCAAAGCUUCCAUCUCUGCAUGAAGAGGUGAAAGACAUGCCCUAGUAUUCCUUGCACCCAUCAAUCCCUGAAAGCCCUCGAGUAUGCUAUACCAUCCUUGACCUGAAUAAGGUUCUUUAUCUUUCCAGGAAACAUCUAUAAAACACCAACGACCAACUCUCAGCUGCCGAUUCAAAACCUCAUUCUGUGGUGGAGCCUGCUUAGUCUUAAUCACCUGGGCCUCAGCCCAAAGUGUUGAUUCAGUUUCUGCAAGCGUAAGUGUAUCUUUUGGAUCAAUAUCCAAA
RNAcentral lists this long non-coding RNA (932 nucleotides) under Brassica rapa (field mustard). RNAcentral describes it as "long non-coding RNA (BRAP_LNC004017)". Lineage: Eukaryota; Viridiplantae; Streptophyta; Magnoliopsida; Brassicales; Brassicaceae. The record is from RNAcentral.